Molecule: ribosomal RNA, 155 nt
Filed under: uncultured fungus
Lineage: Eukaryota; Fungi
Description: 5.8S ribosomal RNA
Rfam family: 5.8S ribosomal RNA
About the family: 5.8S ribosomal RNA (5.8S rRNA) is a component of the large subunit of the eukaryotic ribosome. It is transcribed by RNA polymerase I as part of the 45S precursor that also contains 18S and 28S rRNA.
Source: RNAcentral
AACUUUCAACAAAGGAUCUCUUGGCUCUCGCAUCGAGGAAGAACGCAGCGAAGCGCGAAAUGUAGUGUGAAUCGCAGAACAUUGUGAAUCAUCGAAUCUUUGAACGCACAUUGCGCCUCUCUUAACAGGGAGGCAUGCCUGUCUGAGUCUCAUUU